Molecule: ribosomal RNA, 460 nt
Filed under: uncultured bacterium
Lineage: Bacteria
Description: partial 16S ribosomal RNA
Rfam family: Bacterial small subunit ribosomal RNA
Source: RNAcentral
CCUACGGGAGGCAGCAGUGAGGAAUAUUGGUCAAUGGACGAGAGUCUGAACCAGCCAAGCCGCGUGAAGGAUGACUGCCCUAUGGGUUGUAAACUUCUUUUAUAUGGGAAUAAAAUGUGCCACGUGUGGGAUUUUGUAUGUACCAUAUGAAUAAGGAUCGGCUAACUCCGUGCCAGCAGCCGCGGUAAUACGGAGGAUCCGAGCGUUAUCCGGAUUUAUUGGGUUUAAAGGGUGCGUAGGUGGAUGGUUAAGUCAGUUGUGAAAGUUUGCGGCUCAACCGUAAAAUUGCAGUUGAAACUGGCAGUCUGGAGUGCAGUAGAGGUGGGCGGAAUGCGUGGUGUAGCGGUGAAAUGCUUAGAUAUCACGAAGAACUCCGAUUGCGAAGGCAGCUCACUGGACUGCAACUGACACUGAGGCUCGAAAGCGUGGGGAGCAAACAGGAUUAGAUACCCCUGUAGUC